UACGUAGGCAGCGAGCGUUGUUCGGAGUUACUGGGCGUAAAGAGUGCGUAGGCGGUUUUCUAAGUUUGGUGUGAAAUCUCCCGGCUUAACUGGGAGGGUGCGCCGAAAACUGGAAGGCUUGAGUAUGGGAGAGGUAAGCGGAAUUCCUGGUGUAGCGGUGAAAUGCGUAGAUAUCAGGAGGAACACCUGCGGUGUAGACGGCUUACUGGACCAUAACUGACGCUGAGGCACGAAAGCGUGGGUAGCAAACGGG
Molecule: ribosomal RNA, 253 nt
Filed under: uncultured bacterium
Lineage: Bacteria
Description: partial 16S ribosomal RNA
Rfam family: Bacterial small subunit ribosomal RNA
Source: RNAcentral